UCGAGUUAGGGUCUCUCCGGCCCGACCUCCCAACCCUUUGUCUACCUGACCAUCCGUUGCUUCGGCGAGCCCGUCCUCACGGACCGCCGGGGGGGAUACCUCCACAGGCCCCCUCUGGCCCGCGUUCGUCGAUAGCCCCAUCUCCAAAAUCUUUAACUAAACGUGUCUCGAUCUAAGUACCACAUUUUAGAAUGUAAAAACA
This 202-nucleotide unclassified non-coding RNA is filed under the name uncultured Herpotrichiellaceae. RNAcentral describes it as "sequence contains ITS1". Lineage: Eukaryota; Fungi; Ascomycota; Eurotiomycetes; Chaetothyriales; Herpotrichiellaceae. The record is from RNAcentral.